UACGUAGGUGGCAAGCGUUGUCCGGAUUUACUGGGCGUAAAGAGCGCGCAGGCGGUCGUUCAAGUCGCGUGUGAAAGCCCCCGGCUCAACUGGGGAGGGUCACGCGAUACUGAUCGACUCGAAGGCAGGAGAGGGAAGUGGAAUUCCUGGUGUAGCGGUGAAAUGCGCAGAUAUCAGGAGGAACACCGAUUGCGAAGGCAGCUCGCUGGGACGUUACUGACGCUGAGACGCGAAAGCGUGGGGAGCAAACAGG
Molecule: ribosomal RNA, 253 nt
Filed under: uncultured bacterium
Lineage: Bacteria
Description: partial 16S ribosomal RNA
Rfam family: Bacterial small subunit ribosomal RNA
Source: RNAcentral